This 73-nucleotide transfer RNA is filed under the name Ailuropoda melanoleuca (giant panda). It matches the Rfam family "tRNA". Rfam says of the family: Transfer RNA (tRNA) molecules are approximately 80 nucleotides in length. Their secondary structure includes four short double-helical elements and three loops (D, anti-codon, and T loops). Lineage: Eukaryota; Metazoa; Chordata; Mammalia; Carnivora; Ursidae. The record is from Rfam by way of RNAcentral.
GCCUGGCUGGCUCAGUUGGUGGAGUGCGUGCCUCUUGAGCUCAGUGUUGUGGGUUUGAGCCCCACAUUGGGUG